UGGCCCAGAUCGUUUACCGUGAAAAAAUUAGAGUGUUCAAAGCAGGCAGAUCCAAUUUUCUGCCACCGAAUACAUUAGCAUGGGAUAAUGGAAUAGGACCCUGUCCUCCUAUUUUCAGUUGGUUUUGGCAGCGCGAGGACUAGGGUAAUGAUUAAUAGGGAUAGUUGGGGGCAUUAAUAUUUAAUUGUCAGAGGUGAAAUUCUUGGAUUUAUGAAAGAUUAACUUCUGCGAAAGCAUCUGCCAAGGAUGUUUUCAUUAAUCAAGAACGAAAGUUAGGGGAUCGAAGACGAUCAGAUACCGUCGUAGUCUUAACCAUAAACGAUGCCGACCAGCGAUUAGGAGACGUUGAAUACAAAACUCCACCAUCGGUUGCGGUCGUCCUUGGCGUCUCGGUUUCGGCCGGGGCGCGGGACGGUUAGCCCCGUUWMCCCCMG
RNAcentral lists this ribosomal RNA (434 nucleotides) under Acanthamoeba sp. RNAcentral's name for it is "SSU rRNA". It matches the Rfam family "Eukaryotic small subunit ribosomal RNA", at positions 750 to 1127 of the family's 1831-position model. The record is from RNAcentral. Lineage: Eukaryota; Discosea; Longamoebia; Acanthamoebidae.